This 1036-nucleotide long non-coding RNA is filed under the name Scleropages formosus (Asian bonytongue). RNAcentral's name for it is "lncRNA (ENSSFOG00015026028.1)". The record is from RNAcentral. Lineage: Eukaryota; Metazoa; Chordata; Actinopteri; Osteoglossiformes; Osteoglossidae.
CUGUGAGUGUGAUAGCAGCGCCUCGGUGUCUUGCGCCUCUCCAGCCAUGUGUGUCAAUAAGCAUGUCUAAUGCUGGUGACAUCACGCUUCUAUUGGUGGUGUGACCUCCGUGGCCUAUGCGGGAGCCCCAGUGUCCCCACGCAAGGCAGUUGCCUUCCUUUAUUCUCUCAUCCUUCGCGACUGCGCAAGUCUGGCCCACUUCAGUGCGUUGAGCACCGCGUCCCAACCCUCCUGUCCUACAUGCUGGGAAAGUUGGACACUGUGUGCCAGGGCCUCGUGACAUCCAUGUGGUAGCGGUAGGCGAGCAGCAAGCAAGAUCGGUGAAGGGGAAAGGACUCGUGUCACAUUUGGCGAUUCCGAGCCAGGACUUUUGAGGACCGGACGCAACCAAAAUCAUGAUAUUUAGUCCGAAGCUUUCAAGAGUUCUCAAGGGCGGCACAGCUCACGCUACCCUCGGAUGCCACCAGAUGUGCGACUGCAGCAGCAGUUCGGACAGAGUGUGCCAGUGAUGCUCCCUGGGGACCUGUAUCGUGGCUACGGUGCACAGGAGGAGGCACGGAGAAGAGUGGGAGUGAGAAAAGGACGGAGCACGGCUGAGAGACCGGACUCGGAGCGGGCGAGCACAGCUGUCGAUGGCCACGGGCUCUCCUCCUCUCCUCCGCCAGCCCCUCUCCCUAUCUCCAGGCCUUCUGGGAGCAGGGCCGGGGCCAAGCAGGGAGCUGCGGAGUGGGCUGCCACGGCGGGCGGCUAUCCCCGCCGGCUACGUGCGCCUCGGCAUUGGGCGGCAGGAGAAAUCGAUACGGAAGGAGGGAGGCUGCUGGAGGUCGCUCAGCACGGCCCCCGGCCUGGGGAGCCUGAGGGGUGGUGGGGGGGUUCCGAGCCCACCGCUCCCUCUGCCUCCCCCACGCCAUCCCCGGUUCCAACCAGCGCACAACAGGACGGGGCUCAACCCUGCGCCGCUUUAUGCGUGUGGUACUGCCGCGGGGCCUUCCCAGACCCGCAGUGCCUGAUAAAAAGUUUGCCAGACAAUAAAUAA